GGACGAACGCUGGCGGCGUGCCUAAUACAUGCAAGUCGAACGGUCUUUCUAUGGAAGCUUGCUUCCACUGAGAAGAUAGUGGCGAACGGGUGAGUAACACGUGGGUAACCUGCCCAUAAGAGGGGGAUAACAUCCGGAAACGGGUGCUAAUACCGCAUAGUUUUCUUGAUCGCAUGAUCGGGAAAGGAAAGACGGCCUUUGUGCUGUCGCUUAUGGAUGGACCCGCGGCGUAUUAGUUAGUUGGUGAGGUAACGGCUCACCAAGACGAUGAUACGUAGCCGACCUGAGAGGGUGAUCGGCCACAUUGGGACUGAGACACGGCCCAAACUCCUACGGGAGGCAGCAGUAGGGAAUCUUCCGCAAUGGACGAAAGUCUGACGGAGCAACGCCGCGUGAGUGAAGAAGGUUUUUUCGGAUCGUAAAACUCUGUUGUCAGAGAAGAACAAGUUGGAGAGUAACUGCUCCAGCCUUGAUGGUAUCUGACCAGAAAGCCACGGCUAACUACGUGCCAGCCGCCGC
This 519-nucleotide ribosomal RNA is filed under the name uncultured bacterium. RNAcentral describes it as "bacterial SSU rRNA". It matches the Rfam family "Bacterial small subunit ribosomal RNA", at positions 27 to 518 of the family's 1533-position model. The record is from RNAcentral.